UGGGGAAUUUUGGACAAUGGGGGAAACCCUGAUCCAGCCAUCCCGCGUGUGCGAUGAAGGCCUUCGGGUUGUAAAGCACUUUUGGCAGGAAAGAAACGUCAUGGGUUAAUACCCCGUGAAACUGACGGUACCUGCAGAAUAAGCACCGGCUAACUACGUGCCAGCAGCCGCGGUAAUACGUAGGGUGCAAGCGUUAAUCGGAAUUACUGGGCGUAAAGCGUGCGCAGGCGGUUCGGAAAGAAAUAUGUGAAAUCCCAGAGCUCAACUUUGGAACUGCAUUAUUAACUACCGGGCUAGAGUGUGUCAGAGGGAGGUGGAAUUCCGCGUGUAGCAGUGAAAUGCGUAGAUAUGCGGAGGAACACCGAUGGCAAAGGCAGCCUCCUGGGAUAACACUGACGCUCAUGCACGAAAGCGUGGGGAGCAAACAGG
This 429-nucleotide ribosomal RNA is filed under the name Acidobacteriota bacterium. Its description in RNAcentral is "Acidobacteria bacterium partial 16S ribosomal RNA". It matches the Rfam family "Bacterial small subunit ribosomal RNA", at positions 355 to 776 of the family's 1533-position model. The record is from RNAcentral. Lineage: Bacteria; Pseudomonadati; Acidobacteriota.